GGAUUUAUGCCUGAACACUAUAGGAUUACUUUGAUAGAGUAAAAUAUGGGGGUUAGAAUCCCCCUAAAUCCU
Molecule: transfer RNA, 72 nt
Filed under: Centrobranchus choerocephalus
Lineage: Eukaryota; Metazoa; Chordata; Actinopteri; Myctophiformes; Myctophidae
Also listed under: 1 other name
Description: tRNA-Ile
Rfam family: tRNA
About the family: Transfer RNA (tRNA) molecules are approximately 80 nucleotides in length.
Source: RNAcentral